RNAcentral lists this ribosomal RNA (474 nucleotides) under Megastigmus sp. M139. Its description in RNAcentral is "eukaryotic LSU rRNA". Lineage: Eukaryota; Metazoa; Arthropoda; Insecta; Hymenoptera; Megastigmidae. The record is from RNAcentral.
AAACCGUUCAGGGGUAAACCUGAGAAACCCGAAAGAUCGAAUGGGGAGAUUCAUCUUCAGCGACUUUGGCUUCCGUGCGGUGCGCGAUGUUCGGGACCACGGUCUCGGGGCACGCGUCCGCUGCGACAUGUCCGAAGUCGUCGUAGUGCACUUCUCCCCUAGUAGGACGUCGCGACCCGUUGGGUGCCGGCUCACGGCCCGAUUGGUCGCCUGUCGCGUCUCGUUUACGCGUGCACGCGACAGACCAUCGGUCGCCCGGCCGGCUGCCCGGCGGUAUUAGAACGCUUUUAAACGGUAUUGGGCCGCACCAAGUGCGUUCAGGCUCGUCGGCAGGCUCAUCUCGCCCGGAUUUACGGACCUAGCGCCGUUGCCGGGCGCUUGAUGUGGCCGCUAGUCGACGAUGUCCUCGGACUGGCUCUCGUAUUCGAACGGAUAUACCGGUCGGCGACGCUACUGCUUUGGGUACUUUCAGGA